UGCCAGCCGCCGCGGUAAUACGAAGGUGGCGAGCGUUGUUCGGAUUCACUGGGCAUAAAGGGCGAGUAGGCGGUCGGCCAAGUGGAAUGUGAAAGCCCGGGGCUCAACCCCGGAACUGCAUUCCAAACUUGCGGACUAGAGGACAGGAGGGGGAAGUGGAACUCCAGGUGGAGCGGUGAAAUGCGUUGAUAUCGUGAGGAACACCGGUGGCGAAAGCGGCUCUCUGGGUCUCUUCUGACGCUGAGGGACGAAAGCUAGGGGAGCAAACAGGAUUAGAUA
Molecule: ribosomal RNA, 279 nt
Filed under: uncultured bacterium
Lineage: Bacteria
Description: partial 16S ribosomal RNA
Rfam family: Bacterial small subunit ribosomal RNA
Source: RNAcentral